GAUGAACGCUGGCGGCGUGCCUAAUACAUGCAAGUCGAGCGAACGGACGAGAAGCUUGCUUCUCUGAUGUUAGCGGCGGACGGGUGAGUAACACGUGGAUAACCUACCUAUAAGACUGGGAUAACUUCGGGAAACCGUAGCUAAUACCGGAUAAUAUUUUGAACCGCAUGGUUCAAAAGUGAAAGACGGUCGUGCUGUCACUUAUAGAUGGAUCCGCGCUGCAUUAGCUAGUUGGUAAGGUAACGGCUUACCAAGGCAACGAUGCAUAGCCGACCUGAGAGGGUGAUCGGCCACACUGGAACUGAGACACGGUCCAGACUCCUACGGGAGGCAGCAGUAGGGAAUCUUCCGCAAAGGGCGAAAGCCUGACGGAGCAACGCCGCGUGAGUGAUGAAGGUCUUCGGAUCGUAAAACUCUGUUAUUAGGGAAGAACAUAUGUGUAAGUAACUGUGCACAUCUUGACGGUACCUAAUCAGAAAGCCACGGCUAACUACGUG
Molecule: ribosomal RNA, 497 nt
Filed under: uncultured bacterium
Lineage: Bacteria
Description: partial 16S ribosomal RNA
Rfam family: Bacterial small subunit ribosomal RNA
Source: RNAcentral